Chrysolophus pictus (golden pheasant) is the source of this 182-nucleotide small nuclear RNA. Its record names the gene U2. It matches the Rfam family "U2 spliceosomal RNA". Rfam says of the family: U2 is a small nuclear RNA (snRNA) component of the spliceosome (involved in pre-mRNA splicing). Complementary binding between U2 snRNA (in an area lying towards the 5' end but 3' to hairpin I) and the branchpoint sequence (BPS) of the intron results the bulging out of an unpaired adenosine, on the BPS, which initiates a nucleophilic attack at the intronic 5' splice site, thus starting the first of two transesterification reactions that mediate splicing. The record is from Ensembl. Lineage: Eukaryota; Metazoa; Chordata; Aves; Galliformes; Phasianidae.
AUCACUUCUUGGUCUUUUGGCUAAGAGCAGGUGUUCAUAUCAGUUUAAUGUCUGAUACAUCCUCAAUAAGAGGACUAUAUAUUAAAUGAAUUUUUGGGGUCAACAGUUGGACCCAGAGCUUGCUUCCACCACUCCUUGCAUCAUCCCAGUAAGGAAGUACCUCCAGGCAUGGUACACACUUG